RNAcentral lists this long non-coding RNA (1067 nucleotides) under Calidris pygmaea (Spoon-billed sandpiper). RNAcentral describes it as "lncRNA (ENSCPGG00000000546.1)". The record is from RNAcentral. Lineage: Eukaryota; Metazoa; Chordata; Aves; Charadriiformes; Scolopacidae.
GCCCACCUCAUGGCGUGUGAGGCACCGUGGCAAAGCACGGUGGCCAGGGCUUGCUCCCCGAACAUCUCAGUCCUCGGGUUGUCUUCAGCAGUGGAGAGGAGGGGAGUUAUUCCCUGUGUCCAGGCGGAGAGUUGGUUUGGCUCAGAGAGGGACGGAGCACAGCUGCCUGUGAUAUCUAUUAUCUCCGAGGGAACGAACUGCACCUGAAGGCUGCAGGUGGUGCCCUAACGAGGUAAAGGAUGUAAGCUGGGGAGAAAAAGGAAUUCAUGGAAUCACGGAAUUGUUGGAGUUGGAAGGGACCUUCUAGAGAUCAUCUAGUCCAACUCCCCUGCCAAAGCAGGGUUGCCCAGAGCACAUCACUCAGGAUGGCAUCCAGGUGGGGCUUGAAGAUCUCCAGAGAAGGGGACUCCACACCCUCCCUGGGCAGCCUCUUCCAGGGCUCUGCCACCCUCACCCCAAAGAAGUUCUUCCUCAUAUUUGGGUGGAACUUCCCAUGUUCCAGCUUGUGCCCAUUGCCCCUCAUCCUGUCACUGGGAACCACUGAAAAGAGUCCAGCUCCAUCCUCCUUCAACCCACCCUUUAGAUACUUGUCAGCAUUCGUAAGGUCUCCCCUCAGCCUUCUCUUCUCCAGGCUGAAGAGCCCCAGCUCUCUCAGCCUUUCCUCAUCAGGGAGAUGCUCCAAUCCCUCCAUCAUCUUAGUUGCCCUACGCUGGACUCUCUCCAGCAAUUCCCUGUCUCUCUUCAACUGGGGAGCCCAGCACUGGACACAGGAUUCCAGUUGUGGCCUCACCAGUGCGGAGCAGAGGGGCAGAAUGAUCUCCCCUCCACCUACUGGCCACACUCUUCCCUACGCAGCCCAGGAUCCCAACGGCUCUCCUGGCCACAAGGGCCCAUUGCUGGCUCAUGGACAGUUUACUACCCACCAGGACCCCCAGAUCCUUCUCCUCAGAAGUGCUUUCCAGUGGGUCCAUCCCUGAGCACUUCGGCAGCGGCCGUUUGGUGCCUUAGCCUCAGGGAUGCCAGAGGCAGGCGACUAAAGUCAAAGUUAGGCAAGGUGGCAGCUGAAG